Molecule: ribosomal RNA, 301 nt
Filed under: uncultured bacterium
Lineage: Bacteria
Description: partial 16S ribosomal RNA
Rfam family: Bacterial small subunit ribosomal RNA
Source: RNAcentral
CAGUAGCCGCGGUAAAACGAAGGGGGCUAGCGUUGUUCGGAUUUACUGGGCGUAAAGGGCGCGUAGGCGGACUGAUAAGUCAGGGGUGAAAUCCCAAGGCUCAACCUUGGAACUGCCUUUGAUACUGUUUGUCUUGAGUUCGAGAGAGGUAAGUGGAACUGCGAGUGUAGAGGUGAAAUUCGUAGAUAUUCGCAAGAACACCAGUGGCGAAGGCGGCUUACUGGCUCGAAACUGACGCUGAGGCGCGAAAGCGUGGGGAGCAAACAGGAUUAGAUACCCCCGUAGUCCCUGUCUCUUAUAC